RNAcentral lists this long non-coding RNA (511 nucleotides) under Setaria italica (foxtail millet). RNAcentral's name for it is "long non-coding RNA (SITA_LNC001602)". The record is from RNAcentral. Lineage: Eukaryota; Viridiplantae; Streptophyta; Magnoliopsida; Poales; Poaceae.
GUGGUUCAAGGCCGGCGCGCAGAUCUUCUCCGAGGGCGGGCUGGACUACCUGGGCAACCCCAACCUGGUGCACGCGCAGAGCAUCCUCGCCGUGCUGGGCUUCCAGGUCAUCCUCAUGGGCCUCGUCGAGGGCUUCCGCAUCAACGGCCUCGACGGCGUCGGCGAGGGCAACAACCUCUACCCGGGCGGCCAGUACUUCGACCCGCUCGGCCUCGCCGACGACCCCGUCACCUUCGCCGAGCUCAAGGUCAAGGAGAUCAAGAACGGACGCCUCGCCAUGUUCUCCAUGUUCGGAUUCUUCGUGCAGGCCAUCGUCACCGGCAAGGGGCCCCUCGAGAACCUGCUCGACCACCUCGACGACCCCGUCGCAAACAACGCCUGGGUCUACGCCACCAAGUUCGCGCCCGGGUCUUAAGAAGCUAGACGGCUGCUUCGUGCCUGCCACCAUUGUAGACUACUCGUUACUUUUGUACCACCAAUUAAUGCAAAUACCUUGUUCUCAGGAUUCAGG